GGAUGAGACGGGCGAAUCUUACCUUUAUGAGGACAUUGCCCAAGUGGAAUCCACCAAUCGCACAGAAACACAAAAACGCCAGCAAACAGACAAAAGGAAGAAGAUUUUAAAGACAGGGAAAGGAUUAAAAAAAUCAAAGAGUGGGCCCUCUCUUAAAUGCCUGGGGAAGGAAGGACCAGACAAUGGAGAAAA
Long non-coding RNA from Saccostrea echinata, 192 nucleotides. RefSeq lists it as uncharacterized. Lineage: Eukaryota; Metazoa; Mollusca; Bivalvia; Ostreida; Ostreidae. The record is from RefSeq and is a predicted model, not a curated record. The transcript is spliced from 3 exons.